Molecule: long non-coding RNA, 617 nt
Filed under: Mus pahari (shrew mouse)
Lineage: Eukaryota; Metazoa; Chordata; Mammalia; Rodentia; Muridae
Description: lncRNA (MGP_PahariEiJ_G0012435.1)
Rfam family: SOX2 overlapping transcript exon 3 (bases 1-136)
Source: RNAcentral
AGCUUCUUCAACUCGUUCUGUCCGGUGAGGAGUGAUCCAGCUUGGGCUGACGAGGGGCUCCGGAGCCUUCACGUUCAGUGCUUUUUACCUGCCAAUCAAACUGCUACAAGACAACACCCUGAUCUGGCAUGGUCGCAUCGAACCUAGAAAUUGUACUCUCCUCAAGAUCCGCUUGAGAGAAUCUGACUGAUGGCUUUGGUCUGAGAGUUCAGACAUCUCUUGUGAUACUAAGAAAGAUUCCUUUUCCAUUUGCUGGAUCCUCCUGUUUUGUCAUCCCUGAGUCCUGUAAGAAGCUCAUCAGGAGGUCCCCUGCGCUGGAAGGACCAUGUGAGUUCAUCCCAGACGAUGGGUGGCACCAUGGUUUUAGCAGCUCACACAAUGGAGAACCACAUUCUCUCUGGAAGAGCUUGGCAACAUGUAUUUGGUAAACACAGCAAGGGGCAAGGUCUCAUGUAGCCCCGGUUGGCCUAGAGCUUCCUGUGUAUCAACAACUCACUACUUAGCCAAACUUAACCAGGAGCUUCCUUCUGAUCCCCAGGCCUCUGUUUCACACGCUCCUGGUUUAAUGCUGUGCUGGAAAUCAGAGAAACUCAGAUUUUCUUUUUCUUUCUUUUUUU